This 490-nucleotide ribosomal RNA is filed under the name uncultured bacterium. Its description in RNAcentral is "partial 16S ribosomal RNA". It matches the Rfam family "Bacterial small subunit ribosomal RNA", at positions 28 to 507 of the family's 1533-position model. The record is from RNAcentral.
GUUGAACGCUGGCGGCAUGCCUAACACAUGCAAGUCGAACGGUAACAGGAAGCAGCUUGCUGCUUCGCUUUCGCGUCGCGGACGUGUGUGUCAUGUCUGUGAACCUCCCUUAUGGCGGGGGAUACCUACUGGAAACGGUAGCUAAUACCGCAUAUCUUCUCAACCCCAUAGAUCGGUACCUUAGGGCCUCUUGCCUUCCGAUGUUCCCAGAUGGCAUUAGCUAGUAGGUGGGGUAACGGCUCACCAAGGCGACGAUCCCUAGCUGGUCUGAGAGGUUGACCAGCCACACUGGAACUGAGACACGGUCCAGACUCCUACGGGAGGCAGCAGUGGGGAAUAUUGCACAAUGGGCGAAAGCCUGACGGAGCAACGCCGCGUGUAUGAAGAAGGUCUUCGGGUUGUAAAGCACUUUUAGCAGGGAGGAAGGGAGGAGAGAGAAAAUAUGUACGUAUUGACGUUACCUGAAGAGAAAGCAACGGCUAACUACGUG